Molecule: ribosomal RNA, 247 nt
Filed under: uncultured bacterium
Lineage: Bacteria
Description: partial 16S ribosomal RNA
Rfam family: Bacterial small subunit ribosomal RNA
Source: RNAcentral
AGAUGGCGACCGGCGCACGGGUGAGUAACACGUAUCCAACCUGCCGAUAACUCGGGGAUAGCCUUUCGAAAGAAAGAUUAAUACCCGAUAGUAUAAUCAGACCGCAUGGUCUUGUUAUUAAAGAAUUUCGGUUAUCGAUGGGGAUGCGUUCCAUUAGGCAGUUGGUGAGGUAACGGCUCACCAAACCUUCGAUGGAUAGGGGUUCUGAGAGGAAGGUCCCCCACAUUGGAACUGAGACACGGUCCAA